CCUAUACAUGCAAGUCGAACGGUGUCUUCGGACAUAGUGGCGCACGGGUGCGUAACACGUAUGCAACCUACCUUACAUUGGGGGAUAGCCUUUCGAAAGGGAGACUAAUACCGCAUAAGACAGUAACUUGGCAUCAAGUAGCUGUUAAAGAUUUAUCGAUGUAAGCUGGGCAUGCGUCCAAUUAGCUAGUUGGUGAGGUAAUGGCUCACCAAGGCUAUGAUUGGUAGGGGAACUGAGAGGUCAAUCCCCCACACUGGCACUGAGAUACGGGCCAGACUCCUACGGGAGGCAGCAGUAGGGAAUAUUGGGCAAUGGACGCAAGUCUGACCCAGCCAUGCCGCGUGCAGGAUGAAGGCGUUAUGCGUUGUAAACUGCUUUUAUACAGGAAGAAACGACUCUUGCGAGAGGCAUUGACGGUACUGUAUGAAUAAGCACCGGCUAACUCCGUGCCAGCAGCCGCGGUAAUACGGAGGGUGCAAGCGUUGUCCGGAUUUAUUGGGUUUAAAGGGUGCGCAGGUGGUUUAUUAAGUCAGUGGUGAAAGACGGUCGCUCAACGAUUGCAGUGCCAUUGAAACUGGUAGACUUGAGUAAAGUAGAGGUGGGCGGAAUUGAUAGUGUAGCGGUGAAAUGCGUAGAUAUUAUCAAGAACUCCAAUUGCGUAGGCAGCUCACUUGGCUUUUACUGACACUCAUGCACGAAAGUGUGGGUAUCAAACAGGAUUAGAUACCCUGGUAGUCCACACUGUAAACGAUGAUAACUAGGUGUCGGCCGAAUCUGGUCGGUGCCACAGCGAAAGCGUUAAGUUAUCCACCUGGGGAGUACGCCGGCAACGGUGAAACUCAAAGGAAUUGACGGGGGUCUGCACAAGCGGUGGAGCAUGUGGUUUAAUUCGAUGAUACGCGAGGAACCUUACCUAGGCUAGAAUGUGAAGGAAUGAUACAGAAAUGGAUCAGUCAGCAAUGACCUGAAAC
Molecule: ribosomal RNA, 971 nt
Filed under: uncultured Flexibacteraceae bacterium
Lineage: Bacteria; Pseudomonadati; Bacteroidota; Cytophagia; Cytophagales; Cytophagaceae
Description: bacterial SSU rRNA
Rfam family: Bacterial small subunit ribosomal RNA
Source: RNAcentral